RNAcentral lists this ribosomal RNA (433 nucleotides) under uncultured bacterium. RNAcentral's name for it is "partial 16S ribosomal RNA". It matches the Rfam family "Bacterial small subunit ribosomal RNA", at positions 29 to 507 of the family's 1533-position model. The record is from RNAcentral.
AACGAACGCUGGCGGCAUGCCUAACACAUGCAAGUCGAACGAGACCUUCGGGUCUAGUGGCGCACGGGUGCGUAACGCGUGGGAAUCUGCCCUUGGGUUCGGAAUAACAGUUGGAAACGACUGCUAAUACCGGAUGAUGACGUAAGUCCAAAGAUUUAUCGCCCAAGGAUGAGCCCGCGUAGGAUUAGCUAGUUGGUGAGGUAAAGGCUCACCAAGGCGACGAUCCUUAGCUGGUCUGAGAGGAUGAUCAGCCACACUGGGACUGAGACACGGCCCAGACUCCUACGGGAGGCAGCAGUGGGGAAUAUUGGACAAUGGGCGAAGGCCUGAUCCAGCAAUGCCGCGUGAGUGAUGAAGGCCUUAGGGUUGUAAAGCUCUUUUACCCGGGAUGAUAAUGACAGUACCGGGAGAAUAAGCUCCGGCUAACUCCGUG